This 1375-nucleotide ribosomal RNA is filed under the name Campylobacter novaezeelandiae. RNAcentral describes it as "bacterial SSU rRNA". It matches the Rfam family "Bacterial small subunit ribosomal RNA". The record is from RNAcentral. Lineage: Bacteria; Pseudomonadati; Campylobacterota; Epsilonproteobacteria; Campylobacterales; Campylobacteraceae.
AGUCGAACGAUGAAGCUUCUAGCUUGCUAGAAGUGGAUUAGUGGCGCACGGGUGAGUAAGGUAUAGUUAAUCUGCCCUACACUGGGGGACAACACUUAGAAAUGAGUGCUAAUACCCCAUACUCCUAUUUAACAUAAGUUGAAUAGGGAAAGUUUUUCGGUGUAGGAUGAGACUAUAUAGUAUCAGCUAGUUGGUAAGGUAAUGGCUUACCAAGGCUAUGACGCUUAACUGGUCUGAGAGGAUGAUCAGUCACACUGGAACUGAGACACGGUCCAGACUCCUACGGGAGGCAGCAGUAGGGAAUAUUGCGCAAUGGGGGAAACCCUGACGCAGCAACGCCGCGUGGAGGAUGACACUUUUCGGAGCGUAAACUCCUUUUCUUAGGGAAGAAUUCUGACGGUACCUAAGGAAUAAGCACCGGCUAACUCCGUGCCAGCAGCCGCGGUAAUACGGAGGGUGCAAGCGUUACUCGGAAUCACUGGGCGUAAAGGGCGCGUAGGCGGAUUAUCAAGUCUCUUGUGAAAUCUAAUGGCUUAACCAUUAAACUGCUUGGGAAACUGGUAAUCUAGAGUGAGGGAGAGGCAGAUGGAAUUGGUGGUGUAGGGGUAAAAUCCGUAGAUAUCACCAAGAAUACCCAUUGCGAAGGCGAUCUGCUGGAACUUAACUGACGCUAAGGCGCGAAAGCGUGGGGAGCAAACAGGAUUAGAUACCCUGGUAGUCCACGCCCUAAACGAUGUAUGCUAGUUGUUGGGGUGCUAGUCAUCUCAGUAAUGCAGCUAACGCAUUAAGCAUACCGCCUGGGGAGUACGGUCGCAAGAUUAAAACUCAAAGGAAUAGACGGGGACCCGCACAAGCGGUGGAGCAUGUGGUUUAAUUCGAAGAUACGCGAAGAACCUUACCUGGGCUUGAUAUCCUAAGAACCUUAUAGAGAUAUGAGGGUGCUAGCUUGCUAGAACUUAGAGACAGGUGCUGCACGGCUGUCGUCAGCUCGUGUCGUGAGAUGUUGGGUUAAGUCCCGCAACGAGCGCAACCCACGUAUUUAGUUGCUAACGGUUCGGCCGAGCACUCUAAAUAGACUGCCUUCGUAAGGAGGAGGAAGGUGUGGACGACGUCAAGUCAUCAUGGCCCUUAUGCCCAGGGCGACACACGUGCUACAAUGGCAUAUACAAUGAGACGCAAUACCGCGAGGUGGAGCAAAUCUAUAAAAUAUGUCCCAGUUCGGAUUGUUCUCUGCAACUCGAGAGCAUGAAGCCGGAAUCGCUAGUAAUCGUAGAUCAGCCAUGCUACGGUGAAUACGUUCCCGGGUCUUGUACUCACCGCCCGUCACACCAUGGGAGUUGAUUUCACUCGAAGCGAGGAUGCUAAAAUAGCUACU